Carassius auratus (goldfish) is the source of this 3274-nucleotide long non-coding RNA. The record is from Ensembl. NCBI's taxonomy places the organism in Eukaryota, Metazoa, Chordata, Actinopteri, Cypriniformes, Cyprinidae.
CUCCCUUUAAGUGCUAAUAAAGUCUUUGUUAAUUAAGUUUAAUGUCUUUUCAAAGUAAAAAACAUCUUACCCACAAUACUAUUUUUACUGAAUAUCUCUUUCAAAAAACUCAUCCUGAUAUCUCUGGCUAACAACAAUACAUUUGUAUCAAACUACGGCUAUGUAAAACAAUCGCCAUUUGUGCGAUUCAGUAAAAUGAGGAAGUUCUCCAGAAGAGGAAGGAUGUAUCUUGUACGUAUCUGUAAGCUUCUAAACUGUGAAUGGUUUGACUUAAAAUGGUCAGGGCACAUUUUAUUGCUUUAUCUUUUAAAUAUAAUUAGAAAAUUUUUUGUUGUAGUUACAAGACUUUUUUCUAGACUUUUUUUCUAGUUUUUAUAUACGUACAAAGUAUUUAGAUAAUGUUAAUUUUGGACAAUAAUAUUAAUAAAAUGGAAACAACUGUGGAAACAAAGACACCUACAUCUUGGAUGCCCUUGAGACGAGCCUAUGAUGAACAUUCCUCUUCUCAGUGAGGGAGAGAAGGCCGAUCUGACAUGUUCAGCUCCUUUUCCUUGUCCUAAAAAUCCUCCAAAUAUAACAUGGUGGAUCAGGAAAAGAGACGGAAAAAUCAGUGAUUUAAAGGAAAACAUCACUCUGAGCCCCUCCAAAAACCUUUCCCUCUCAACUUUGACUCUAACUCCAACCUGUGACGAUCACAAUGCCACUAUAGGAUGUGACGUGAGCUACGGAAGCAAAAUCAUCAGUACAAAUAGGACCCUCGAAGUCACGUAUAUAUUCAUGAACCAAGCGUCUGUUGGAUCUGUGACGAUAACCACUGUGACAAAGGAGCAUGCUGGGGUUUACAGCUGUAUGAGGACAUUUCAGAACAAGACCCUGAAUGCAUCCAUCACUUUAAAUAUAAUUUAUAAAGCGGCUAUUCAAGUGCAUGUGGACAUCAAAAUGAUAACAGCAUUUCUGAUGGGAAUGUCAACUUCAGCAGUCAUCUUCUCUGUGGUUUUGUGCAGUCAAGGGUCCUGGAAAAGGUAUCACCUACAUAUAUAAGUGAACAGCUAAAAUGUGCAACACUUUCAACAAAAUGCAUAGAUUUUAUAUACUGAUCAUAUAAAGGUGUUUGGAAUGGUUGUUUGAUUAAGUUUCUGGUUGAUGAGAAAUCAUGUGAUUGUGAAUACUGUCAUCCGUAAACAGACACUCAUUAUUUUAAUAUGACACUCAAAUAAUUUACUGUGCUUUGAUUCUGUCUUAUUGCCUACACUCUUAAAAAUAAAGGUGCUUUAAAGGUUCUUAACAGUGAUGCCAUAGAAGAACCAUUUUUGGUUCCACAAAGAACCAUUCAGUCAAAGGUUCUUUAAAGAACCAUCUCACUGACAUUUUUAUAAUCUGAAGAACUUUCUUUUGUCACAAAGAAACUUUUGUAAAGCAGAAAGGUUCCUCAGAUGUUAAAGGUUCUUUAUGGAAACAUUGAGACCAAAAGGUUAUUCUAUCUCUGGCAUUGGGAAGCACAUUUAUUCAUAAGAGUGUACAUAAUAUCUUUUCCUGCAGGGACAAGACAUAUGAAGUGGUGGCCACGAACACAUACACUGAAGUUGUACUGGAAUAUUUUCAAGGAAAAAGUUUAAGGAGAUACUGUAUGAAAGAGUGAGAUUAAUCAUUUGGAUUAAAUGAUUUGAAUUGAUAAUUUAUAGUUUUUUUUUUAUUAUCAUGUUGGAUAUAGAUUUUUCUGAAAUUGUAAAAUAUAAUAUAUUAAGUCACUUCUUCACAAAUUUAGAAACUUAAUUCUGUCUGAGUUUAUCUUUGUUAUUGCUGAAUGAUUUCUCCUUGUUCAGAGAUAUUUUCUUUGACAAAUAAAACAGUGUUAAUUAAUUCAAAGUGUUUAAAUUUCAUUCUUUCAGUGUUUUAGACUUUAGAGGAUGUUAUAGGACCAAAGGGAAUUUUAGACUACUCAGGUUUACAGUACGUAUAUGAUAAAUGCAGAUGAGAAGCUGUGAAGAACAGAAUAUAUUCAUUUAUUUAUUCAUUCAUUCAUUCAUUUAUAUACUUAUAUAUAAUUACUAGUAAUACUUUAGGUACAUUUGGUAUAAGAUUAAGGAUGAAUUUGUGCAUAUUGUGAAUUAAAAUGAAUAAAAUAAACAGAAUUUCCUGACAUUCCAGGAAGCCUUUUAGUAAAAUAAGUCUAUUUUUUUGUGUGUGUGUUCAAAUACAUUAUUCACCAUUUUUCUUUGUUCCUUAUUCACUUAAAUUCCUUAAAAUUAUUUAAUGAAAAGAAAAAAAAAAAACACAUUAUAUUUCCUUUGAUGCCCAUGAGCAGUAUCAUGAGGUGAGUGGGCAGAGCUUCAUUGCAGUUCUUUAUGUAUUUAGGACGAAUGCCGUUUUUAAGGCCCUGUCCCAAUAAUAGAUGUGUAUAUAUGUGGUCACAAUACCCACACUAGUGAUAAUAGCAACUUGAGAGCAUGGACAUUUAACAGGAAGUAAGUGCACCAGACUGUCCCAGGUCUGAACAAUGUUCAGUGCCCUCAACACACUAAAUCCAUACAUGCCCUGAAAUCCCAAGAUUUUAAGGGAAAACUUUAAAGUGUAAAUUAAUUUAAUUAGACAUUACAUAUAUUUUCUGUAAUAAAUAAAGUAUUGAAAAUUUUUUGGUUUUGAUAUGAGUGUGUGUAUUUUAUAAAACAUUUGUAGCUGCUUUUUUUCACUAAAAUAAAAGCACCACAAUUAAACUGUGUCUUAGGAACUACUGAGCAGAAACCUAUUUAUUAUUAUUAUUAUUAUUAUUAUUUUAAGUGCAAAUAAUAAAAUGAACAAAAAUGUGUAAUUAAAACACAGUAAAAACUUUACUUGCAUUUAUAUAAUGCUAUGUUGUAAGUGUGCCCCAUUAGUUAAUCAGAAGUUCUGUGCACUUGUGGUCCUUACACCCACUUGAACCAAAUAAAGGAAAUACAUCAGACAAGUGAUCAGUGCAAAGACUACAACGUGUGGGUAUUGGGACCAGCCCAAAUGCAAUGUGGUGAUCUGUUCACAAACAACUUUGUACUCUAUUCAAGCUUGUAUUAGAGCUGACCACUUGUGACCAGAUCAUGAAAUGCAUAUUAAUACCAGAUGGAAAGGCUUUAAAAGUGAAUCAGCUCCUUCCCCUCUUUUAAAUCAAAAGCCUUAAGUAGACAUUUUUUUUUCUUCUCUUGAUGCUCUCUACAUUUCUGGCCAUAGAUGCUUUCUUUCUUGUAUCCUGCUAUCCUGUUCCACUGUUUACUAUAGUGAUCUUUCAAAUACACAAACCCCC